AUCGCUUCUCGGCCUUUUGGCUAAGGUCAAGUGUAGUAUCUGUUCUUAUCAGUUUAAUACCUGAUACGUUCUCUAUUCCGAGAACAUCGUAUUAAACGGGUUUUUGGAGCCUAGGAGUCGGGGUGUGGAGCUUGCUCCGCCCGCUCCACGCGUCGACCUGGUAUUGCAGUGUUUCCGGGACUGGUGCACCCCUC
Small nuclear RNA from Phocoena sinus (vaquita), 194 nucleotides. Its record names the gene U2. It matches the Rfam family "U2 spliceosomal RNA". From Rfam's summary of the family: U2 is a small nuclear RNA (snRNA) component of the spliceosome (involved in pre-mRNA splicing). Complementary binding between U2 snRNA (in an area lying towards the 5' end but 3' to hairpin I) and the branchpoint sequence (BPS) of the intron results the bulging out of an unpaired adenosine, on the BPS, which initiates a nucleophilic attack at the intronic 5' splice site, thus starting the first of two transesterification reactions that mediate splicing. The record is from Ensembl. NCBI's taxonomy places the organism in Eukaryota, Metazoa, Chordata, Mammalia, Artiodactyla, Phocoenidae.